UACGUAGGUGGCAAGCGUUGUCCGGAAUUACUGGGCGUAAAGGGCGCGCAGGCGGACUUUUAAGUCAGGUGUGAAAUAUGCAGGCUUAACCUGUAGUUUGCAUUUGAAACUGGGAGUCUUGAGUGCAGGAGAGGGGCAGUGGAAUUCCUAGUGUAGCGGUGAAAUGCGUAGAUAUUAGGAGGAACACCAGUGGCGAAGGCGGCUGCCUGGACUGUAACUGACGCUGAGGCGCGAAAGCGUGGGGAGCAAACAGGAUUAGAUACCCU
This 266-nucleotide ribosomal RNA is filed under the name uncultured prokaryote. Its description in RNAcentral is "partial 16S ribosomal RNA". It matches the Rfam family "Bacterial small subunit ribosomal RNA", at positions 524 to 788 of the family's 1533-position model. The record is from RNAcentral.